Long non-coding RNA from Humulus lupulus (European hop), 840 nucleotides. RefSeq lists it as uncharacterized. The transcript is spliced from 3 exons. The record is from RefSeq and is a predicted model, not a curated record. NCBI's taxonomy places the organism in Eukaryota, Viridiplantae, Streptophyta, Magnoliopsida, Rosales, Cannabaceae.
UGCAUACAUUUGUUUUCUUUAUUAUUUCAUUUAUCAAUCUCUCAAACCUAUCUAACCUCUCGCCUCUCUUUCUCUCUAUAGGUCUCUAACCCUUUUCUCUUGCAUAUGUUUGGCACUAAAAGCUCGAUGAAGACGACGUCGGGACUUGACGACGCGAGGGAUUGACAAUCUGUCUCGCUGCUUUCGUCCUUACAGGUCCGGCAAUGUGCGGGGUCAAGGCUGGGUGAUCGGUAGUGCACGAGGUCAGGAUGGUGUUCAUUCAACCACUCGUUUGCCACAAUGGUACUAGAAUGGUGAUGGUUAACAUUUUAAAUUUCGGCAUCGUCUGCGGUCACACGGGUUUAGAGGUUGGGAAAUCAGUUGCUUGGGUUCAGAGAUUGGGUUAAGAGAUUGAGUUCAAAGAUUGGGAAUGGUGAAGCUAUGCUCAAAGACAGGGGACUACCUUAUUGGCGGAAAUUGAUAUUAUAGGAAAUGCUGGAACAUGAUGGGAUACAUGCAUAUUGAUUAUGUUCAAAAUUUAUGGGAUGAUCAGAUUCUUCUUCUGUACUGCUCAAUUCUGUCCAUUGAAUCUUUGAAGAGUAAAAGAAGUCUCAAUCUGAAAGUUACAAAACUAAGGAUCGGGAUUCAAGCAACAAGAUUGUAAAUUGUAUUCGUGUCAAAAGUGGAAGUUAUAUAUCAGUUGUUAUAAUUGUUCUUCAUUCAUUUUGAUGUUUAUUUGUUGUUUUUAGAUAAUUUGUUGUGUUAACUAUGAGUAUGGUUUGUAUUAUCGAGUUUGAUUUUAGACAAUCAAUAAAGAUGUAUUUUUAGAGUUAUGAUAUUGAAUGAACUUUUGGUUUGAAA